AUUUUGUUUUGUUCACAAUGUGUACAUUUGGCUCCGUCCUUAAGGGGUUAAACCCAAUUAUGCAUGUCAUGAAGGAAUAACAAGUCUAAUUAAGUGGUAACUGGAUCUAAAUAACAACCAAACACAUGCAAUCAUAUAAUGUCCAAACCGAGAAAAAUCUAUAUGAACGUAACAAUGCAAUACCUACCAUUCGGGCAGGAAAUGUAAGGAGGGAAAUAUUCGCCUCCUGUCAUUACUAAAAUUAAGAUUAUAGGUACA
Molecule: non-coding RNA, 258 nt
Organism: Pelobates cultripes (western spadefoot toad)
Lineage: Eukaryota; Metazoa; Chordata; Amphibia; Anura; Pelobatidae
Source: the annotation of a GenBank genome assembly